This 150-nucleotide ribosomal RNA is filed under the name Escherichia coli. Its description in RNAcentral is "partial 23S ribosomal RNA". The stretch from base 1 to 132 matches the Rfam family "Bacterial large subunit ribosomal RNA", at positions 2799 to 2925 of the family's 2925-position model. The record is from RNAcentral. Lineage: Bacteria; Pseudomonadati; Pseudomonadota; Gammaproteobacteria; Enterobacterales; Enterobacteriaceae. RNAcentral also lists the same sequence under 1 other name.
CCGAGAUGAGUUCUCCCUGACCCUUUAAGGGUCCUGAAGGAACGUUGAAGACGACGACGUUGAUAGGCCGGGUGUGUAAGCGCAGCGAUGCGUUGAGCUAACCGGUACUAAUGAACCGUGAGGCUUAACCUUACAACGCCGAAGGUGUUU